GAGUUUGAACCUGGCUCAGGAUGAACGCUGGCGGCGUGCUUAACACAUGCAAGUCGAACGAUGAUCCGGUGCUUGCACCGGGGAUUAGUGGCGAACGGGUGAGUAACACGUGAGUAACCUGCCCUUGACUCUGGGAUAAGCCUGGGAAACUGGGUCUAAUACCGGAUAUGACUCCUCAUCGCAUGGUGGGGGGUGGAAAGCUUUUGCGGUUUUGGAUGGACUCGCGGCCUAUCAGCUUGUUGGUGAGGUAAUGGCUUACCAAGGCGACGACGGGUAGCCGGCCUGAGAGGGUGACCGGCCACACUGGGACUGAGACACGGCCCAGACUCCUACGGGAGGCAGCAGUGGGGAAUAUUGCACAAUGGGCGCAAGCCUGAUGCAGCGACGCCGCGUGAGGGAUGACGGCCUUCGGGUUGUAAACCUCUUUCAGUAGGGAAGAAGCGAAAGUGACGGUACCUGCAGAAGAAGCGCCGGCUAACUACGUGCCAGCAGCCGCGGUAAUACGUAGGGCGCAAGCGUUAUCCGGAAUUAUUGGGCGUAAAGAGCUCGUAGGCGGUUUGUCGCGUCUGCCGUGAAAGUCCGGGGCUCAACUCCGGAUCUGCGGUGGGUACGGGCAGACUAGAGUGAUGUAGGGGAGACUGGAAUUCCUGGUGUAGCGGUGAAAUGCGCAGAUAUCAGGAGGAACACCGAUGGCGAAGGCAGGUCUCUGGGCAUUAACUGACGCUGAGGAGCGAAAGCAUGGGGAGCGAACAGGAUUAGAUACCCUGGUAGUCCAUGCCGUAAACGUUGGGCACUAGGUGUGGGGGACAUUCCACGUUUCCGCGCCGUAGCUAACGCAUUAAG
Molecule: ribosomal RNA, 843 nt
Filed under: Arthrobacter globiformis
Lineage: Bacteria; Bacillati; Actinomycetota; Actinomycetes; Micrococcales; Micrococcaceae
Description: bacterial SSU rRNA
Rfam family: Bacterial small subunit ribosomal RNA
Source: RNAcentral